RNAcentral lists this microRNA (21 nucleotides) under Xenopus laevis (African clawed frog). RNAcentral's name for it is "xla-miR-5187". Lineage: Eukaryota; Metazoa; Chordata; Amphibia; Anura; Pipidae. The record is from RNAcentral.
CGUAGUGGAAGGAGGCGUGCC